Molecule: ribosomal RNA, 460 nt
Filed under: uncultured bacterium
Lineage: Bacteria
Description: partial 16S ribosomal RNA
Rfam family: Bacterial small subunit ribosomal RNA
Source: RNAcentral
CCUACGGGUGGCUGCAGUGAGGAAUAUUGGUCAAUGGACGAGAGUCUGAACCAGCCAAGUAGCGUGAAGGAUGACUGCCCUAUGGGUUGUAAACUUCUUUUAUAUGGGAAUAAAAUGUUCCACGUGUGGGUUUUUGUAUGUACCAUAUGAAUAAGGAUAGGCUAACUCCGUGCCAGCAGCCGCGGUACUACGGAGGAUCCGAGCGUUAUCCGGAUUUCUUGGGUUUAACGGGAGCGUAGGUGGAUUGUUAAGUCAGUUGUGAAAGUUUGCGGCUCAACCGUAAAAUUGCAGUUGAAACUGGCAGUCUUGAGUACAGUAGAGGUGGGCGGAAUUCGUGGUGUAGCGGUGAAAUGCUUAGAUAUCACGAAGAACUCCGAUUGCGAAGGCAGCUCACUGGACUGCAACUGACACUGAGGCUCGAAAGUGUGGGUAUCAAACAGGAUGAGAUACCCGAGUAGUC